UUGCACGCUGGCGGCAGGCCUAACACAUGCAAGUCGAACGGUAACAGGAAGAAGCUUGCUUCUUUGCUGACGAGUGGCGGACGGGUGAGUAAUGUCUGGGAAACUGCCUGAUGGAGGGGGAUAACUACUGGAAACGGUAGCUAAUACCGCAUAACGUCGCCAGACCAAAGAGGGGGACCUUCGGGCCUCUUGCCAUCGGAUGUGCCCAGAUGGGAUUAGCUAGUAGGUGGGGUAACGGCUCACCUAGGCGACGAUCCCUAGCUGGUCUGAGAGGAUGACCAGCCACACUGGAACUGAGACACGGUCCAGACUCCUACGGGAGGCAGCAGUGGGGAAUAUUGCACAAUGGGCGCAAGCCUGAUGCAGCCAUGCCGCGUGUAUGAAGAAGGCCUUCGGGUUGUAAAGUACUUUCAGCGGGGAGGAAGGGAGUAAAGUUAAUACCUUUGCUCAUUGACGUUACCCGCAGAAGAAGCACCGGCUAACUCCGUG
This 489-nucleotide ribosomal RNA is filed under the name uncultured bacterium. RNAcentral describes it as "partial 16S ribosomal RNA". It matches the Rfam family "Bacterial small subunit ribosomal RNA", at positions 30 to 507 of the family's 1533-position model. The record is from RNAcentral.